Long non-coding RNA from Drosophila biarmipes, 915 nucleotides. RefSeq lists it as uncharacterized. The transcript is spliced from 4 exons. Lineage: Eukaryota; Metazoa; Arthropoda; Insecta; Diptera; Drosophilidae. The record is from RefSeq and is a predicted model, not a curated record.
ACUAAACUGGCACCCGGCAGGAGGGUCGGGUUGCCUGGCAACACAGCACCACUGGCUUAGCGCCGGAGCACGGCCAUCGCCGGCGACGGGGAAACUAUCCGGCAGUGUGUGACCUUUGCACCCACCUGGGGAUCUGCCGGGGCCCCUCUGCCUCUUGCGAUCCGGGAAAGCCGGCACGGAUGAGCAGGAACACAGACAAAUUUGAGGCACUUUAAAGACCAGCUCACCAGCUUGAGUUGAAGCGCUUGAGUUGAAUGCCGGAAGGAAAACUAGAGCCAGAGUCAAGCUCAUAUGGUGACCCCAAUCCUUUUUCGGAAAAGUAAAAGCAGUGCAAUGAAUAAUUCCAGCGCUGAAGCCAGACCUUUUAAUGGUUCUAUGGGCCAUCCCCACCUUCCCCAAAUUCCCGAUCCCAAGUAGGACCCUCGCUGGAGGUCCCUGCUCGCUAAUGCGAUUAGAGUGAGUGCUGGCAGCGCAUUUGCCAAACGGUUUUUAAAUCGCUUAGCAGACAUCACAUCCUCGGCUCAGCCCCACGCCGCCCGGCAUCCCGGCACCCCAGCAUCCUCAAAGUGCAUUUCAAUUUCCUCCGUGUUGACACGCUGAUGUCAGAUGGCACACACAGUGUCCCAGUGCCACAGAAAGCCCGACGGUGCUGCAUCAUUUCCAAGUCUCUUCCGGCCUUUGUUUGAGCUUCGAUUCAUAACCGCUCCAUCUUGGCUGGAAAUAAAGCCGUUCGCCACCAAAGGAGCGCGCAGAAGCACUCGCUGCUCGGCUGGGACCCAGUCCCCCUCCCCGGAAUCGUUGUCUUCGUUAUCCUUAUCAUCAAGCGGCAUACGCACUCCGGAAAGGUUCCGCGCCCGGAACAGCCUCCGCCCAGGGUAAACAAUGGGGGCGCCUCGAAACACUCAAGUGCAAUAU